This 155-nucleotide ribosomal RNA is filed under the name Suhomyces tanzawaensis. RNAcentral's name for it is "5.8S ribosomal RNA". It matches the Rfam family "5.8S ribosomal RNA". Rfam says of the family: 5.8S ribosomal RNA (5.8S rRNA) is a component of the large subunit of the eukaryotic ribosome. It is transcribed by RNA polymerase I as part of the 45S precursor that also contains 18S and 28S rRNA. The record is from RNAcentral. Lineage: Eukaryota; Fungi; Ascomycota; Pichiomycetes; Serinales; Debaryomycetaceae.
AACUUUCAACAACGGAUCUCUUGGUUCUCGCAUCGAUGAAGAACGCAGCGAAAUGCGAUAAGUAAUAUGAAUUGCAGCCCUUGUGAAUCAUCGAAUCUUUGAACGCACAUUGCGCCUUGGGGUAUUCCCCAAGGCAUGCCUGUUUGAGCGUCAGC